This 76-nucleotide transfer RNA is filed under the name Propionibacteriaceae bacterium. RNAcentral describes it as "tRNA-His". It matches the Rfam family "tRNA". From Rfam's summary of the family: Transfer RNA (tRNA) molecules are approximately 80 nucleotides in length. Their secondary structure includes four short double-helical elements and three loops (D, anti-codon, and T loops). Lineage: Bacteria; Bacillati; Actinomycetota; Actinomycetes; Propionibacteriales; Propionibacteriaceae. The record is from RNAcentral.
GUACCUAUAGCUCAGCUGGUAGAGCAUCUGGUUGUGGUCCAGAGGGUCGCCGGUUCAAGUCCGGUUAGGUACCCCA